CGGGGCGUAGCGCAGCCUGGUAGCGCGCCUGCUUUGGGAGCAGGAUGUCGGAGGUUCAAAUCCUCUCGCCCCGACCA
This 77-nucleotide transfer RNA is filed under the name Nitrospira sp. RNAcentral describes it as "tRNA-Pro". It matches the Rfam family "tRNA". From Rfam's summary of the family: Transfer RNA (tRNA) molecules are approximately 80 nucleotides in length. Their secondary structure includes four short double-helical elements and three loops (D, anti-codon, and T loops). Further hydrogen bonds mediate the characteristic L-shaped molecular structure. tRNAs have two regions of fundamental functional importance: the anti-codon, which is responsible for specific mRNA codon recognition, and the 3' end, to which the tRNAs corresponding amino acid is attached (by aminoacyl-tRNA synthetases). tRNAs cope with the degeneracy of the genetic code in two manners: having more than one tRNA (with a specific anti-codon) for a particular amino acid; and 'wobble' base-pairing, i.e. permitting non-standard base-pairing at the 3rd anti-codon position. RNAcentral also lists the same sequence under 29 other names. The record is from RNAcentral. Lineage: Bacteria; Pseudomonadati; Nitrospirota; Nitrospiria; Nitrospirales; Nitrospiraceae.